Molecule: long non-coding RNA, 1772 nt
Organism: Aedes albopictus (Asian tiger mosquito)
Lineage: Eukaryota; Metazoa; Arthropoda; Insecta; Diptera; Culicidae
Exons: 2
Source: RefSeq, a predicted model, not a curated record
UAUCAUAUUGUUUCUCAUAUGCAGUAUAUCAGUGAUUUUCUUAUAAAACAACUGUUCUAAAUAAAGCCGACGUUUCGAGCGUUUAUUCACUCAAUUUCAGGGCAAACUACAAUUUGUAUACAAAGUUUGAGUAGUCGAGUCAUUUGUUAUACAAAAAAUAUUUACAUCAAAAGUUGUUUUAGGUGUGAAUCACUGUGGUAUUUGAACGUUUUUUCAUUCAAACAACAUCGAAUAAACGGGGUACGAGUCAUAUUGAAAGGGACGAUUCAGCGAGUAAGGCGGUAAUACAGUUGUACUACAUUAUCACUGGAGAUGAUCUCGGAUGCAGGGGGAUACCUACCUGGAUACGAAACUAUUUCCAACCUUUGAACAGUUUACCUAUGUAGAUCAUAAACUUACCAAUGACAUCAACCUUAACCAUCAUACAGACCGCAUUAGGCAAACCUUCCCAACACUUCAUCCCUGCAUGUUGUUCGGAAUGUGAAGUUGGUUCACACUUUUCAGGUAUUGUUCGCAUUCGGCAGGCAGCUAUGACUCCACUCGCUUUUCUGGUUCGCUUCACCGUCCGACCUAUUAUCUGUCCAAAUGUCGGACAGCUUGUUAUGGUGUCGGCCGGUGAGCGAGCAGAGCAGCCGACAGAACGUGGCGCAGACAAAAAGACAAGCCGUCGAGAGGGGUGACUCGAGGCAGGUUGGGGCAUGGCGGGAAAUGAAAUGGAAUUAGACUAAUUUGAUAAUUGAUGUGCUAUUAUUCAGAUCGCUUAAUCAGGUGAUUACAGUGCUAUCCACUUAAAGUGGAUGCAUGGAAUUCGGAAACUGCCAAAAGAAACCCGAGAAGCGCAUAGUGGUGGAAUGUUCAACUGCUACUUCGUCGUCGGACAGAUUUCAAAACGGCAUGAAGUCAACAACUAGCAAUGGUUUGAGUGCGGCACAGUGGCACAAGACAGCCAUCCAGCAGAGGAGCGAAAAAUAACGACUGUAUAAUCGAAGAUAAUUACACAUAAAUUUCAGUUUGCCUGACGUUUCCCUCGUCGUGCGGGUGAUUAAUGUAUUUGAAGAGCCAAGCGAGCUAUCGAGAUGUGUGCAAGUGCGAGUGAGUGUGCACAAGCGAGUCUGAUUCGGCGCACCGCUUCCAUGUCCUCUGGAUGUGCGGCUGACUUCGUGUUCCCGCAAAGAGUUUGUUUUAUGCUGUGCCGUGAACCGGAGCAUCCGACGCUAACGGCGCGAGCAAGCUACCUCAAUAGCGACAAACGGCGACACAUGACAUUGUGGGCUUCAUCGAGAUUUAUACCAUCGGCGGCAGAGAACGAAAGAGAGAUCCUCAAGGUGGAAAGACAAGCCAGCAGACAAAGUGCCCAACAAAUGUGCGAAGCGGAAACGCCAACAGAAAAAGCGAAAUAUAUAUUCCGACAACAUGACAAACAACAUUGGACAGCCAGCGGCGACGCCAUUCGACCGAUGUGGGGUGCUAAUUGAAAGACUCCGUAAUUAACUAAUAAAUUACAAAAAAAAAAGAGAAUAACUUGAAUUGUACUCAGGCUUUGGUUUUCUUUAUAAAAUCGUUUAUUUCUUCUUCUUCAUUUCUUUCCGUACGCUUAAAGAUAAUUAAUAGAGCUUUUUACGGCUUGCUACAGUUAAUAUACCAUUUCUCAUUCCUAUAAUUUUCAUGUUAUCUGUACAUUUUGUCCUUUGUUCUGUAUUCGCAAUGAAAGAAUCACUACAGUCUUUAGCUCUUAUGUUUGAGAGGCAAAUGAACAAGCAAAAACAAACAAA